GUCAUAUGCUGUCUCAAAGAUAAGCCAUGCAUGUCUCAGUACAAGCCAAAUUAAGGUGAAACCGCGAAAGGCUCAUUAAAUCAGUUAUGGUUCCUUAGAUCGUACCCACAAUUACUUGGAUAACUGUGGUAAUUCUAGAGCUAAUACAUGCAAACAGAGCUCCGACCGGAGACGGAAGGAGUGCUUUUAUUAGAUCAAAACCAAUCGGUGGCGGGUUCGCUCGUCAUCGUACAACUUGGUGAUUCUGAAUAACUUUACGCUGAUCGCACGGUCAUCGCACCGGCGACGCAUCUUUCAAAUGUCUGCCUUAUCAACUGUCGAUGGUAGGUUCUGCGCCUACCAUGGUUGUAACGGGUAACGGGGAAUCAGGGUUCGAUUCCGGAGAGGGAGCCUGAGAAACGGCUACCACAUCCAAGGAAGGCAGCAGGCGCGCAAAUUACCCACUCCCGGCACGGGGAGGUAGUGACGAAAAAUAACGAUACGGGACUCAUCCGAGGCCCCGUAAUCGGAAUGAGUACACUCUAAACCCUUUAACGAGGAUCAAUUGGAGGGCAAGUCUGGUGCCAGCAGCCGCGGUAAUUCCAGCUCCAAUAGCGUAUAUUAAAGUUGUUGCGGUUAAAAAGCUCGUAGUCGAAUUUGUGUCUCGCGCCGCCGGUUCAUCGUCCGCGGUGUUAACUGGCGAGUCGCGAGACGUCCUGCCGGUGGGCUUAGCUCGCGAGGGCGGCCCAACUCAAUCCUGCCGCGGUGCUCUUCAUUGAGUGUCGAGGUGGGCCGGCACGUUUACUUUGAACAAAUUAGAGUGCUUAAAGCAGGCUAAAACUUCGCCUGAAUACUGUGUGCAUGGAAUAAUGGAAUAGGACCUCGGUUCUAUUUUGUUGGUUUUCGGAACCCCGAGGUAAUGAUUAAUAGGAACGGAUGGGGGCAUUCGUAUUGCGACGUUAGAGGUGAAAUUCUUGGAUCGUCGC
Molecule: ribosomal RNA, 965 nt
Filed under: Trigonopterus sp. 759 AR-2022a
Lineage: Eukaryota; Metazoa; Arthropoda; Insecta; Coleoptera; Curculionidae
Description: SSU rRNA
Rfam family: Eukaryotic small subunit ribosomal RNA
Source: RNAcentral